Molecule: ribosomal RNA, 1211 nt
Filed under: uncultured organism
Description: bacterial SSU rRNA
Rfam family: Bacterial small subunit ribosomal RNA
Source: RNAcentral
ACACAUGCAAGUCGAGGGGUAACGAUUUUGAGCAAUCAAAAGGCGACGACCGGCGCACGGGUGAGUAUCGCGUUUGUAACCUACCUCUGACUGGAGCAGAGGGCGAAGAAAUUCGGAUUAAUACUCCAUAAUACUGCGAGAAGGCAUCUUUUUUCAGUUAAAGCUUCGGCGGUCAGAGAUGGGCAUGCGUAACAUUAGCUGGUUGGUGAGGUAACAGCUCACCAAGGCUACGAUGUUUAGGGGGUCUGAGAGGAUGGUCCCCCACACUGGUACUGAGACACGGACCAGACGGCUACGGGAGGCAGCAGUGAGGAAUAUUGGUCAAUGGGCGAAAGCCUGAACCAUCCAUGCCGCGUGAAGGAUGACGGCCCUAUGGGUUGUAAACUUCUUUUAUACGGGAAGAAACCCCUCUACGUGUAGGGGGCUGACGGUACCGUACGAAUAAGCAUCGGCUAACUCCGUGCCAGCAGCCGCGGUAAUACGGAGGAUGCAAGCGUUAUCCGGAUUUAUUGGGUUUAAAGGGUGCGUAGGCGGAAAAUUAAGUCAGUGGUGAAAUCCUGCAGCUUAACUGUAGAAUUGUCAUUGAUACUGGUUUUCUUGAAUACAGUUGAGGUAGGCGGAAUGAGUAAUGUAGCGGUGAAAUGCUUAGAUAUUACUCAGAACACCAAUUGCCGAAGGCAGCUUACUAAACUGUGAUUGACGCUGAGGCACGAAAGCGUGGGGAGCGAACAGGAUUAGAUACCCUGGUAGUCCACGCCGUAAACGAUGAUCACUCGUUGUUGGCAAUACACCGUCAGCGACUGAGCGAAAGUAUUAAGUGAUCCACCUGGGGAGUACGAUUGCAAGAUUGAAACUCAAAGGAAUUGACGGGGGCCCGCACAAGCGGAGGAACAUGUGGUUUAAUUCGAUGAUACGCGAGGAACCUUACCUGGGCUUAAAUGCAUAACGACGGAUCGGGAAACUGGUCUUUCUUCGGACGGAAUGCAAGGUGCUGCAUGGCUGUCGUCAGCUCGUGCCGUGAGGUGUCGGGUUAAGUCCCAUAACGAGCGCAACCCUCAUCAUUAGUUGCCAGCGGGUAAUGCCGGGGACUCUAAUGAAACUGCCGGUGUCCCCCCCGAGAGGAAGGCGAGGAUGACGUCAAGUCAGCACGGCCCUUAUGUCCAGGGCUACACACGUGUUACAAUGGUCAGUACAAAGGGCAGCUACCAGGC